This 904-nucleotide ribosomal RNA is filed under the name Hirsutella citriformis. RNAcentral describes it as "SSU rRNA". It matches the Rfam family "Eukaryotic small subunit ribosomal RNA", at positions 60 to 974 of the family's 1831-position model. Lineage: Eukaryota; Fungi; Ascomycota; Sordariomycetes; Hypocreales; Ophiocordycipitaceae. The record is from RNAcentral.
CUAGUAUAAGCAAUUAUACGGCGAAACUGCGAAUGGCUCAUUAUAUAAGUUAUCGUUUAUUUGAUAGCACCUUACUACUUGGAUAACCGUGGUAAUUCUAGAGCUAAUACAUGCUGAAAACCCCGACCUCUGGGAGGGGUGUAUUUAUUAGAUUAAAAACCAAUGCCCUCUGGGCUCUCUGGUGAUUCAUGAUAACUCGUCGAAUCGCACGGCCUUGCGCCGGCGAUGGUUCAUUCAAAUUUCUUCCCUAUCAGCUUUCGAUGUUUGGGUAGUGGCCAAACAUGGCUGCAACGGGUAACGGAGGGUUAGGGCUCGACCCCGGAGAAGGAGCCUGAGAAACGGCUACUACAUCCAAGGAAGGCAGCAGGCGCGCAAAUUACCCAAUCCCGACACGGGGAGGUAGUGACAAUAAAUACUGAUACAGGGCUCUUUUGGGUCUUGUAAUUGGAAUGAGUACAAUUUAAAUCCCUUAACGAGGAACAAUUGGAGGGCAAGUCUGGUGCCAGCAGCCGCGGUAAUUCCAGCUCCAAUAGCGUAUAUUAAAGUUGUUGUGGUUAAAAAGCUCGUAGUUGAACCUUGGGCCUGGCUGGCCGGUCCGCCUCACCGCGUGCACUGGUCCGGCCGGGCCUUUCCCUCCGCGGAACCCCAUGCCCUUCACUGGGCGUGGCGGGGAAACGGGACUUUUACUUUGAAAAAAUUAGAGUGCUCCAGGCAGGCCUAUGCUCGAAUACAUUAGCAUGGAAUAAUGAAAUAGGACGCGCGGUUCUAUUUUGUUGGUUUCUAGGACCGCCGUAAUGAUUAAUAGGGACAGUCGGGGGCAUCAGUAUUCAAUUGUCAGAGGUGAAAUUCUUGGAUCAAUUGAAGACUAACUACUGCGAAAGCAUUUGCCAAGGAUGUUUUCAUU